Molecule: ribosomal RNA, 439 nt
Filed under: uncultured bacterium
Lineage: Bacteria
Description: partial 16S ribosomal RNA
Rfam family: Bacterial small subunit ribosomal RNA
Source: RNAcentral
CUACGGGGUGCAGCAGUGGGGAAUAUUGCACAAUGGAGGAAACUCUGAUGCAGCAACGCCGCGUGGAGGAUGACACUUCUCGGAGCGUAAACUCCUUUUAUAUAGGAAGAAGAUGACGGUACUAUAUGAAUAAGCGCCGGCUAACUCCGUGCCAGCAGCCGCGGUAAUACGGAGGGCGCAAGCGUUACUCGGAAUCACUGGGCGUAAAGAGCGUGUAGGCGGAUUAAAAAGUCAGAAGUGAAAUCCUAUAGCUUAACUAUAGAACUGCUUCUGAAACUCUUAAUCUAGAAUAUGGGAGAGGUAGAUGGAAUUUCUGGUGUAGGGGUAAAAUCCGUAGAGAUCAGAAGGAAUACCGAUUGCGAAGGCGAUCUACUAGAACAUUAUUGACGCUGAGACGCGAAAGCGUGGGGAGCAAACAGGAUUAGAUACCCGCGUAGUC